Molecule: ribosomal RNA, 359 nt
Filed under: uncultured bacterium
Lineage: Bacteria
Description: bacterial SSU rRNA
Rfam family: Bacterial small subunit ribosomal RNA
Source: RNAcentral
GACGAACGCUGGCGGUGUGCUUCACACAUGCAAGUCGAACGAGGUAGCAAUACCUAGUGGCGGACGGGUGAGUAAACGCGUGGGAAGCUGCCUUUAGAUGGGGGAUAACGGGUCGAAAGACUCGCUAAUACCGCAUAUGACGAAAGUUGAAAGGAGUAAUCCGUCUAAAGAUGAGCCCGCGUCCGAUUAGCUAGUUGGUAGAGUAAAAGCCUACCAAGGCGACGAUCGGUAGCUGGUCUGAGAGGAUGAUCAGCCACAAUGGGAACUAGAGACACGGCCCAUACUCCUACGGAGGCAGCAGUGGGAAUUUACGCAAUGGGCGAAAGCCGUGACGUAGCGACACCGCGUGAGCGAAGAAG